Molecule: ribosomal RNA, 230 nt
Filed under: uncultured bacterium
Lineage: Bacteria
Description: partial 16S ribosomal RNA
Rfam family: Bacterial small subunit ribosomal RNA
Source: RNAcentral
AAAGCGUGCGCAGGCGGUUAUGUAAGACAGAUGUGAAAUCCCCGGGCUCAACCUGGGAACUGCAUUAGUGACUGCAUAGCUGGAGUACGGCAGAGGGGGAUGGAAUUCCGCGUGUAGCAGUGAAAUGCGUAGAUAUGCGGAGGAACACCGAUGGCGAAGGCAAUCCCCUGGGCCUGUACUGACGCUCAUGCACGAAAGCGUGGGGAGCAAACAGGAUUAGAUACCCUGGU